UACGUAGGGGGCAAGCGUUAUCCGGAUUUACUGGGUGUAAAGGGAGCGUAGACGGCGUGCCAAGUCUGGAGUGAAAGCCCGGGGCUUAACCCCGGGACUGCUUUGGAAACUGGCGUGCUAGAGUGCUGGAGAGGUAAGUGGAAUUCCUAGUGUAGCGGUGAAAUGCGUAGAUAUUAGGAGGAACACCAGUGGCGAAGGCGGCUUACUGGACAGUAACUGACGUUGAGGCUCGAAAGCGUGGGGAGCAAACAGG
RNAcentral lists this ribosomal RNA (253 nucleotides) under uncultured bacterium. RNAcentral describes it as "partial 16S ribosomal RNA". It matches the Rfam family "Bacterial small subunit ribosomal RNA", at positions 524 to 776 of the family's 1533-position model. The record is from RNAcentral.